AGGAUAUCCUUAAAUGCUUUAGUCCAGUGUGUCAUGUUAUCUUGGGGUAUAAAACCCAGACUGGGCUGCGUGCUGAGGCCCUUCAACAAAGGGGGCACAUGCAGAUGAGACUCCGUCCACCCCAGGCAGCUUUCCUGAGCCCUGGAGGACAGGCUUGAAAUGACUCCUAGGCUUCUGGUGACCCUUGUCACCUAUCUGCCCAGAAUACUCAGUACCUCUCAAUGACCCUCAGACGCUGUAGGAAGAGGAUUGGUUCACCUUUUAACCCAGAAUUUCUCACAUUGAAUGGACAGGAUGCAUUCCAAGAGGCCAGAGUAUGUGCAUCUCAGCUCCUGAUGGUUUCCACCACCACCAUUACUUUCUCUAUGUCAAGAUACCUGGGAAGCCGGUGUUUCAUUUGCAUUCUUGGAGCCCAGGAACUGUCUUCUACAAACUUUUCUUCCUAGUACCAUGUAAACGUACACAGGAAACGUUCAGAAAACAUCAGCCAAAUAGAAGAAUAAGGAAAUUCCUUCACUGACUAGAUAUUGGUGUUUGAUUCUGUCCUGCUUUGUACUCAAUGGCUAUUUCGGGGUUUCCAUUGCGGAAAACUAUUUGGAAAAUUGCAAGCCACGAGACAAGCCUCUAAGCUACUCCAGGAUCAUUGAGGACUCUCCAUGGGUUCUUAUUGUUAAAGAUCUUAACUCCUCAAGCCACUGCAUUUUUACUAUAUGCCUUGAACUACAAGAUGUGUUAAGAUUUAUAGGAUAAGGUUCUCAUCUCUAAAAACUCAUGGUCUCGAUGGAGAAGCAGUAUUUACACACAUGGAGAAGUUGAGAGUACUUGAAUGUGGAGUAUAAAGUGUGCGAUAUUGACAAGAAGCUCUACGAAAGUUCAGGAAGAGGAGGAGCAAGUGAGGAUGGAGAUGGACUUUGCAGAAUGGAGGAGAGGCAAAGAAACGGUUAGAAACAAUCUACAUAAUGAAAAGUCACUUUUGGGAGUUGUUUUAAGGCAGAGUAUCAUAUCGCAUCAAAACCGCUCCAUAAGUCCUGCCACUCCACGUGCAAUGCCAUGAACUUGAAGAAACUGCUGCUGCUGCAAACCAAUGGGCUUUGGGGAACUGUGCUUCCCUUCAGAAAGGAAA
Homo sapiens (human) is the source of this 1123-nucleotide long non-coding RNA. Ensembl annotates it as long intergenic non-protein coding RNA 607. NCBI's taxonomy places the organism in Eukaryota, Metazoa, Chordata, Mammalia, Primates, Hominidae. The record is from Ensembl.